This 1104-nucleotide long non-coding RNA is filed under the name Piliocolobus tephrosceles (Ugandan red Colobus). Its description in RNAcentral is "lncRNA (ENSPTEG00000019050.1)". Lineage: Eukaryota; Metazoa; Chordata; Mammalia; Primates; Cercopithecidae. The record is from RNAcentral.
UGCUCAUACAAGAUACCAGGGAUCUUUCCUCCCCUGGUCUUCUCUCUCCCUCUUUGUUGAUAGCCACUCAACUGCCAUGUGCUGGGGAUCCCUCCUCCUAAAUCUUUUGUCUUCAGCCAUAUCUCUUCAUCCCUGUCCACCCCCAACUUAGUUUAGGCUGCCACCAACUCUGGCUUGGAUCCCUUCUCACUUGUCUGUCUGCUUCUAGCCUGGGCCCCCAUCCCCUCGUCUCAUUCCAUUCCCUACUGGGCAGCCAGAACCAUCUUUUUCAACCACAGACAGAUCAGACCAGCGUCCUUCCUGCUUCAAACUCUGCAUGGUUCUGUUUACCUAGAGCAGUGGCCUCCAAAAUAAGGGACUGACAAACUGGGGGCAAUGAAGAAUGAUCCCCUCGAGUAUGAGAAGAAGGAGGAAAAAGCAAACAUCCCUUUGGAAACCGCCGGAUGGGUUUGCACCAGGAUUAGAUCCAUAUGAUGGUCAGGCAGAGCCUCCCAGAGCCACCAAGGACAGUAAAAGCCCCAAGAGACAAUCAGCAGCUGAGGAGAGGGAGGACAGCCGAUCUCAGCUUCAAUAACCUUGCCGUGGGCUACAACCUGGAACUGCAGGGCUCAUGGGCUAUCAGAUGGAGCGGCCAGCAGGGGAGGGCAUGGGAGGCUGUGAUGCUGUGUUUGCGUGGGGGACCCUCUGCCUUUUCCCACUGUCUGUAUGUCAUGAUGUUAAAAAUGGUGAAGAGGAAGCCUGGCAGGAAAUGCCUUUGAAGGGGACACAGGAGCAUGCACCCCCCACACAAACACAUUAAGGCAUGAGGGACGAAGCAGUUAACUCAUCAACACAUAAACUGAAGUUCAAAUGCAGCGACUUUGAAAGGCCCCACGUGGACAGGCUGGGAGGCCAAUGUAUGGUUCACCCCACAGAAGGAGAAAAGCAGCACAGUGUAGGGUAGCACUGCCCAGCAGAAAUAGAAUGCCUACCUCACCUGCAACGUACAAUUUUCUGGCAGCCACAUUGUUUUUGAAAGUUUAAAAUUUGUUUCAAAUUUAUUUACAUUGAAUUAAUCAAAUAAGUCUUUUGUGAUUCUUUUAUUUCUUCAGUUCCUGUAAUUAU